Long non-coding RNA from Sorghum bicolor (sorghum), 2190 nucleotides. RefSeq lists it as uncharacterized. NCBI's taxonomy places the organism in Eukaryota, Viridiplantae, Streptophyta, Magnoliopsida, Poales, Poaceae. The record is from RefSeq and is a predicted model, not a curated record. The transcript has 3 exons.
UUACCACAAACAAACAAAAGUGCUACAGUAGCUAAAAUCUAAAAUUUUUGUCAACUAAACAAGGCCUAUGUGUUCGUAGGUCAUGCAUGAUGUUUUAGAUUCACGGAAUAAUAAUCAGCCUGCAGGCAUGACACUUUUUUAUUUUUUAUUUCAUUACUAGUUUACUACUUUGCUCGUCUGUGAACAGACACAAUGUAGCUCGUGUUUAUUUUUAGUUUUUUGUUUUAUAAAACAUUUUCUAUUUAACUGCAAAGGUUGCUACUUGCUAGUGUAGUAUCACUAUGUGUUAAAAUUGGUCAAUUAGGACAUCUGUUGUGCGCGACCUUGAUCCUGUUAUCGUUGAGAGUUUACCUGGAAACAGGAAAAUAUGUGACUGAUGUAUUGAUCUGAAUUUUGUACCUUGACUUUAUUCCAUGUUGUUCCUUGUCAAAACAAAAUUUCAGGUGCGCAUGGGCGACAGAUGCACCAGUCAUGAGGACAGGAUCAGCAGUUUACCUGACGAGUUACUCAUCUUGAUUAUUGAAAAGCUAGACUAGACACACGCACAACAAUAACGACCAUCAUCCUUUCCAAGCGAUGGCGUGAUCUUCCUCGGCGUUUGCCAACAUCGUAUAACCUCGUUGUCGAUGACAUCCUCCCACCACGCUAUCAUCACUUGAAAUGCUUUAACAUGGAGGCUAGCGCAGCAUGUGUGGCAGAGAAGAACAUGCACAAGCUUACCGACAUCUAUGCCAUCAAGGCUCGGCGUGAGCGUUGGAUGGCCACGAUCAGGCCUCUCACAGCCAUCCUUGAACGCUACGAGCGCCUGCCCAAGAGGCGCUACCACGCUAUGUCAAGCAGGUGAACGCAUUCCUUCUGGCCCCAAAGAAUGUGCGUCAGCACCGGCCUGCUGUCCAUAAGCUGAGGGCCUGAGGCUACAAAAGCUGGGACAUUGGCAUGAAAACAUUGAUGAAUGGGUCACUGCAGCCAUUGCCAAGUGGGGGUGUUGAGGAGUUUGAGCUUAUUAUUGAUGGCUAUUGCGGAUGCUAUAUAACCUCAAGCAGCGGGAUCGGUACCAGAACAUUCGUCUGGAGCGUCUUGUGCUAUCCAACUGCCAGCCUCUUUGUGCAUGGAACUGCCUGACAAUACAGAGGCUCACCAAACUCACAUUGGGUACAGGUUCAUAUAUGGGAAUCAUCAGUGAUAUUCUUAGGAACUGCAUAGAGCUAAGGGAUUUCAGAAUCACAUCUUCUCGUGUUUGCCAGGCUGCUCUACGAUUCUUUGUGCCGGCGUAGAAGAUAAAGAGUCUGCAAGUGGAUUGGUGCUGCUUUGGGAAAAUAUAUCUGAUGUCUCUGCCUUGUCUUGAGACCUUCGUUUGCCGUGGUCGCCCAACCAAGUUAUCCUAUAGUGAGGUGCCUCGCCUUAGGCAUGUGAGCUUGGACUACUUACAGACUGAAGAUAACGACAUCGACGAUGAAUCUGGUACUAGCAGGACAUAUCCACCUAGCAAAGUCUUCAAAAGGAUCCCACUGCUAGAUUCCCUUGCUCUAUAGUUCAAAGGGGCCGGGAUGUGGAUCGAACCUUUUGUUGUUCCUAGUGGUCAGCUCAAAAAAACUGUUCAUCGCAAAUGUCCCAGUGAACGGGGACGUACUGUGGAUUCUCCUACUGCUUGGUGCAGCAGCACCAGCCUUGGAAUCGUUCCAUAUUCAUAUUGACAACAAAUCGGAGCAGCGAAGCUCGGGUGAUCUUUGUGACAGUCUGGACGCCGAUGUGCAGCAGCAUCAGAACUGUCGCCUGAAGGAGCUCGUUGUGGCAGGCUUCGAAGGAUUUGGGUGGCAAAUAGGUUUUGCCAGGCUGAUCAUGAAGAGGUCGCCGUUGCUGAGGCACGUGCACCUGCUCGAUGGCGAGGUCAGGAACGAUGAGCAGGAGUUGGGGGCGCUGCAGAUCGUCCCACGGCGCCGGGAGUGUGGCACGAGUGUGAGCGAGCUGUGAGGUGCUGGGUUUCGCUUCCCGCCUCGAAUAAUUCUGGAAUGAGCUGCAUAGCUUCUUGUUUAAAUAACAUCAUUCCAUGCCUUGUUAAACCGGUUUAAAUUAUUUAAAAUAAGAAUGUAGAGUUAUACGUGUGCCUUGUCACCUUGUUAAAUUUGUUUAAAUUAUGAAAAAAUUAAUGUAGAGUUGUACUGUGCCUUUUUAUUUAUAAUAAUAAGGAUU